AAAAAUCUUUAUUGUAAGGGCACUGGAACAGGCUAGCCAGUGAAGCUGUGGUUGUCCCAUCCUUGGAAGUGUUCAAAGCCAGGCUGGAUGCAGCUGUAAGCAACCUGAACAAGCAGAGGGUGUCCCUGCCCACGCCAGCACGGCUGGAACCAGAUAAUCUUUACAGUCCCUUCCAACUCCGACCCUUCUGUGAUUCCGUGCCUCUCGCAAGCUGUCCCCGGCUGCGCCCCACGGGCCCGCUGGCCCGGCCGCCGCUGUCGGGAGGGCCCGCGGGCGGCGCUGCCGCCCGAGGCGCCGCGGAGCCCGGGGGCUGCCGGGUCCGGACGGCCCGGCCCGGCCCCACCGGGCCGGCGGGGAGCUCCGCGGGCGAGGCCUCCGUGCAGCGCCCCGGCCCGGGAGGCCUCGCCGAGCCCCGGCCGCGGCUCCGCCGGAAGGGGAGCGGAGCCGGCCCGGCCGAGGGGAGGGGAGAGCGGCGCGGGGGAGGGGACACCGCCCGCCCCUGCGCCCCCGGAGGCGGGCGGGCCGGCGCUCCGCGCUCCCCUCCGCGCGGCCGUACCUGCGCUGGAAGUCGCUCCGGAAGGGCGCCAGGGAUGGAUACAAAGCUGCCAGCUGCUGCCGCUGCCAGUGGAAACAGGAAGAGGAGGAGUGUUGGGAAUAACUGCUCUUUGAUGGGGACAGCAGUGGAAAAUAUGAGAAUGGUGUCUAAGGCGUGUGUCUGGCACUCAGUUACCGUCUGAGCUUGGCAAUCUUCCUGAUGCAGACGAGAGACAGGGCUUGCUUUAUAAGUCAUCAUCCCCUGUGGCCUUCACAAGAAGAACAGUGAUGUUUACAUUGGGAGAUUCUAAUUCCUCACCUUUGGCCCUCCUGCAGCUGUCUCCUCAGCAACCCCUGUGUUGUCAUCUGAUUCAACACAUGCACAAGGAGCACUUACAAAGGGAGCUGAGUCAUUCUCUAAAUCUGGACCAUCGUCCUCUCAACACAAAACCUUCCUCUGAAGCACUUAAGGGCAAGUAUUAACUGUGUCAUUUUGCAUGGGAAGUUUUAUCUUCUCUUACUUUAAAUUACUUCUGUGUCUAACUGCAAAGCCUGUAAUUUAGCUGUAUCCACCAAAAUAUUCUUGGUCAUUUGUGUUACAUAAUGUCAAAUACUUAUUUAUCUUCUUAUUUCCAUGUUCUAUUUCCUUUUCUUUUAAUUAAUUGUCAUUUCAAAAUAGACUCACAUCUUCACUGGAUUUUUUUUUUGUACAUAGUUGUAGUUUCUGUGAACUGUGACUACUUUUCUGUCAUUCAGGAACCCUUGAGUCUCAAGGAACGUAACCUGUACAAUCAAAUUCAAAAUUAUUCCAGAGACAACAUUAAAGGAUGCUCAGUAUUAAUAUCAAUCUGACUUAAGUUAUCUGAUAUACCUAACAUUUAAAAAGGUUGAUAAAUGAGGACAUGUAUUAGACACCCUAAAAGUGAGGAAAAAGAUGAACUGUUUAUGUCAUUAUUUUCUUAGCACUAUCAAAUGUCAUACACAUUCUUUGCAUUUUUGAAUGGAUGGUCUUAUUUCCAGUCUUAUCUCAGUGCCUGCUAAAAAUGUGUGCUCUGGUAGGUUGAAACCAUUCUAGCACUACUACAAGUGAUGAAUACUAGGAUUUUUUUCAGGUUUAUGUCCAAGUUGCUGGGUUACUUGAAGCUCUGAAUAAGAUCUGCAUGAAGACUUGUGAUGAGCUCUGUAACUGAGUUGUAUUACAUUGCUCAAAAUAAAGCUUUUCGGUUGACUUCUUCAGUAUAAUUCUUGUCAUGUUUUAGGAAUUUUCAUGCUAGCUCUGUUUUUAUAAAUGCUACCUUUAUUAAAUCUGUAAUAUCCCAAAGUAAUACUUUUUGCUUUGGGUUUAUUUUCUGAUUUAUAUUCUAGCAUGUUUAUCUUCUCUCUCUCGUCUAGUUCUUUUUUGAUUUAACAUUGAUUUUUUUUCCCUUUGUUUUACAGUAAGUCAUGUGGCAUUGACAUCCCUAAGAAAUUUAAAGUUACAUGGAAGAUAAUUAAACAGCAUAUCGAUGGAUGAGAUAGACGUGAUGGUUUCUCCGUGAUGUCAUUGCAUGUUGGUGAAGGGACAGCACUGUGAAAUAUGAGAUGCAGUGUCAUCAAAAUAUUACCCUGGUUUUGCAAGGAGUUGCACAAGGAGCCAUUCCUUUUCUGCAAAAGGAAGGCUUGAUUAUUUGUAACAGUAAAAACAAAAACCAACACUGCCAGCAACAGAAAAAUAACUGUUUCCUGUGUUUUUAAUUUCCUUUCUAUUCCAUAUAGAUAUUUCUAUUACUGAAAAAAAAGGCUAUCACCUCUUGUCUCUGUUUUUUCUUAAAUCUAGAAAUGUUUUGCAAAUUUAAAUUAAAAAAGUCAAAUGUCUUGCUCUGUUUCUUCAUUUUUAGAAUAAACUGAAGUAUUUCAGCUUUUAGUGUC
Prinia subflava (tawny-flanked prinia) is the source of this 2442-nucleotide long non-coding RNA. RefSeq lists it as uncharacterized. Lineage: Eukaryota; Metazoa; Chordata; Aves; Passeriformes; Cisticolidae. The record is from RefSeq and is a predicted model, not a curated record. The transcript has 4 exons.